GCCGCCCAAUGUUAUACACCGGGGACAGAGAGUGUGAUAACCUAUCGCUGUGCUCCGAGUCCCUGAGAUAAUACAUACAUAUCGUGCGGUUCCCUAACCCCCUCCCCCGUCGGGAUGUACCAAGUGUGCGCGUCGCUGCUGCUGCACAGGAUGAUAGGACGUUCGCACGGCGCCAGGGGGGGUGCACGGAUCAGGCAGUGAGAGAUUAGCGGCUGUGCGGGGCAUUGCGCUCCCCGUGUGAUCGCCGAAGAGAGCCGGUCAGUGAGCAGCGUGUGUGUGGUGGGCGCUGGCACGGCGUGCGCGGCCUCUAGUUGGGGGCGGCCGCUAGAUCCCCCCCCUGGUACAGCAGCAGUUGGUCUGUUCCGGUCUCUGGCUGCGCGCGGGGAAGCUCCUGUGUUCUGUUCCGGUCGCUCCGUCCCCAUCAAUAACAACAGCAGCAGAAGCAGCGAGGUCUCCGGGUUCCCUUCACCUGCUCCGUCUUCCUCCCAGCGACAUGUCUGUGGCCUUUGCAGCUCCUCGGCAGCGGGGGAAGGGCGAGAUCACCCCUGCCGCCAUACAGAAGAUGUUGGAUGAAAAUAACCAUCUUAUUCAGUGUAUUAUGGAUUAUCAAAAUAAAGGGAAGACAUCUGAAUGUUCUCAGUAUCAACAGAUGUUACACACAAAUCUGGUUUACUUGGCUACCAUAGCAGACUCCAAUCAAAAUAUGCAACCUUUAUUACCAGCACUACCCACACCGACUAUGCCUAUGGGUCCAGCAGGGAUGAAUCCGAGUGGCCCCCCACAACCACCACGUUCACACAACAUGCCUUCUGAAGGAAUGGUAGGAGGGGCCCCAUCUGCACCACACAUGCAAAACCAGAUGAACGGCCAGAUGCCUGGACCAAACCAUAUGCCUAUGCAAGGACCAGGACCUAAUCAGCAUAACAUGACAAAUAGCUCAAUGUCUAUGCCUACCAGUAAUCAUGGUUCCAUGGGAGGAUAUAACCAUUCUGUACCAUCUUCACAAAAUAUUCCAGUACAGAAUCCGAUGACUAUGAAUCAAGGCCAGUCAAUGGGCAACUACGGCCCCAGGCCAAGCAUGAGUAUGCAGCCAAACCAAGGCCCAAUGAUGCACCAGCAGCCUUCUUCACAGCAAUAUAACAUGCCACAGGGUGGUGGCCAGCAUUACCAGGGACAGCAGCCACCUAUUGGAAUGAUGGGCCAAGUUAACCAAGGGAAUCACAUGAUUGGUCAAAGGCAGAUUCCGCCAUACAGACCUCCUCAGCAAGGUCCACCACAACAGUACUCAGGCCAAGAAGACUAUUACGGAGACCAAUACAGUCAUAGCGGUCAAGGUCCUUCUGAAGGCAUUAAUCAACAAUAUUACCCCGAAGGUCAUAAUGAUUACGGUUAUCAGCAACCGUCGUACCCUGAACAAGGCUACGAUAGGCCUUACGAGGAUUCCUCACAACAUUACUACGAAGGAGGAAAUGCACAGUAUAGUCAACAGCAAGAAACCUAUCAGGGGCCGCCGCAGCAGCAAGCCUACCAAACCCAGCAACAGCAGUACCCCACCCAGCAAGGUUAUCCUGGCCAGCAGCAAGGUUAUGGUCCUUCACAAAGUGGUCCAGGUCCUCAGUACCCCAAUUACACUCAGGGACAGGGUCAGCAGUAUGUGGCAUACAGACCUACACAGCCAGGACCUUCACAGCCACAGCAGCAGAGACCUUAUGGAUAUGAUCAGGUAUAGCCUUUUCAUCCAAUGGUUAUGUAAAACCACCAGCAAAAAAACAACCAACCAAAUGGUCAGUAUGGAAACUACCAACAAUAAAAAAAAAUUUAAAAAAACCAUAAAAAAAUUUAAUAAAAUAAAAAUAAACUUUUGGGUUCCUGUAGCCAGUCCUUGUAGCUGUUGUAUUGCUUCCCAGGAACUGUGGACAUCUUCCUUUUGAAGAGUUUAUUAACUUUAUCUUUUACAUUCGGGAAAACAAUGUCAGUUGAUGGCAGCUUCUAAGUUUUCGGUCCACAUGGAUUAAUUAUUGAAGACUGCAGUGAUUCACAUGCCAAGCUAUUUCACGUCAUGUACUCUAGGUGGCGAUGUUGCAUCACACGAUCCAGGAUAUCAGUCUAAUGUAGAACGUAGACCAUACAGACUUCCCAUAAAUGGUUUUGGGGAAAUUUACUUUUUCUAUCACGGUAGGAUUGUUCUGUGGAUUUUGUCACAAGUUAAAGCGAAUCUGUGCGAUUAAGUGGGGAACAGGAUGUUCAAGACAAACUGAAAUGUUGUAGGAUACAUUUAGCUAAUAAAUGUGAGUAAUUAAGGAACACAUUCUAUCCUAUGUUAUGAAUGCUGACAAUAGGAUUUAAAAACAGGAAAAUAAUUGUUACGCUUUCAUUUCUGAUUUUCCUAAAAUGUUGCAGCCUGAAAUGUUUGUGACCUCUUCCUUCCAUUUUAUUUUUAAUCUGGAAAACUGUGUUUGAGUUAUUAAGAAUGCACUGCAUUUAUUUUGCAACAUCUCUGAAUUUCCAGGAAAUAAAUCUGGCUAUAGCACAUCAGGGAUCCGAUCAGUCACAUUUUCAUAUCUAUUGACCAGCACACAGUUUUAUUUAAACAAUAAAGAGCACAAGCUGCAAUACAUCAUAAUUCUCAAUUAUUGAGUAACCAUUAUGCAAUACAGUUGAGCAACAUAAAUAUUUGUUGUAAGUUAAAGGUAUGUCUCUUUCUGUCCCCCCCCCCCCCCAAAAAAAAAGAAUCUUGAGAGAUUUAACGUGUUUAUUAUGCAGCCCAAUAUUUUUCCUGUUUAAAACUUAAUAAAACACACAACACAAAUGAAAUAAACCUAGUACGGGCAGUAUUGUUGUCAUCUGUUUUAUGGGUUUUGUGCCAAACUUGCACCGGUGUUCUAGCAUUGCUAUUUAAAAUGUACUUUACAAAAAUAAAUUAUUUGUGACUUGA
Pseudophryne corroboree (corroboree frog) is the source of this 2935-nucleotide RNA transcript. It is a transcript of the gene named SS18 subunit of BAF chromatin remodeling complex, with no coding region annotated. The transcript has 11 exons. NCBI's taxonomy places the organism in Eukaryota, Metazoa, Chordata, Amphibia, Anura, Myobatrachidae. The record is from RefSeq and is a predicted model, not a curated record.